GGGCCCGUAGCUCAGUUGGUAGAGCAACUGACUUUUAAUCAGUGGGUCGCAGGUUCGAUUCCUGCCGGGCUCACCA
RNAcentral lists this transfer RNA (76 nucleotides) under Hyphomicrobiales bacterium. RNAcentral's name for it is "tRNA-Lys". It matches the Rfam family "tRNA". Rfam says of the family: Transfer RNA (tRNA) molecules are approximately 80 nucleotides in length. Their secondary structure includes four short double-helical elements and three loops (D, anti-codon, and T loops). Further hydrogen bonds mediate the characteristic L-shaped molecular structure. tRNAs have two regions of fundamental functional importance: the anti-codon, which is responsible for specific mRNA codon recognition, and the 3' end, to which the tRNAs corresponding amino acid is attached (by aminoacyl-tRNA synthetases). tRNAs cope with the degeneracy of the genetic code in two manners: having more than one tRNA (with a specific anti-codon) for a particular amino acid; and 'wobble' base-pairing, i.e. permitting non-standard base-pairing at the 3rd anti-codon position. Lineage: Bacteria; Pseudomonadati; Pseudomonadota; Alphaproteobacteria; Hyphomicrobiales. RNAcentral also lists the same sequence under 6 other names. The record is from RNAcentral.